GACCCACUUACAGAUAAUUCCUCCUGGAAUAGAGCACACAAAGGACUUGAGAAUAGAUGACCCAGAUAUGAAGUUUCAUCUAAACAUUCCAGUUAGUUGAGUUGUUUAUGAGUAGAUAUGGCCCAGAAAACUAAACACUUGAUCAAAAUUUCUGUUGAGUUAGCAGCGGACAAACAAAUACUGGAGAAAGUAUAUGCUAGUACUACUAUGAGUUUAUCACAGUAUAUGCUAGUAUUACCAUGAGUUUAUCACAAUACAAUAGUCAAACUGUGAUGGUGUGAAGAUAUUACGAAAGAACGCCUUGGCUUGUGCUUUAAGCAUGUCACUUUUCUAAUCACUAAUAGAGCAGCCGAAAUCUCAAACAUUAAGGAAAUGUUUGCUCCUGCUUUCUUUUUUCUAACUCUUAUUCCCAAAAAGAAAAAAAUACAGGCAAAUAUUGCAUUUAUGAUGCAAU
This 454-nucleotide unclassified non-coding RNA is filed under the name Hevea brasiliensis (rubber tree). Lineage: Eukaryota; Viridiplantae; Streptophyta; Magnoliopsida; Malpighiales; Euphorbiaceae. The record is from RNAcentral.